UAGAUGUUUGAACUGAAGAGUUUGAUCAUGGCUCAGAUUGAACGCUGGCGGCAGGCCUAACACAUGCAAGUCGAGCGGCAGCACGGGUA
Molecule: ribosomal RNA, 89 nt
Filed under: Pseudomonas syringae pv. actinidiae
Lineage: Bacteria; Pseudomonadati; Pseudomonadota; Gammaproteobacteria; Pseudomonadales; Pseudomonadaceae
Description: partial 16S ribosomal RNA
Rfam family: Bacterial small subunit ribosomal RNA (bases 10-89)
Source: RNAcentral